RNAcentral lists this long non-coding RNA (224 nucleotides) under Anolis carolinensis (green anole). RNAcentral describes it as "lncRNA (ENSACAG00000036303.1)". Lineage: Eukaryota; Metazoa; Chordata; Lepidosauria; Squamata; Anolidae. The record is from RNAcentral.
AAAGGUCCCAGGUUCAAAUCCCAGGAGCGGAGUGAGUGCCCUCUGUUGCUCCAGCUUCUGCCAACCUAGCAGUUCGAAAACAUGGAAAUGAAGCCACAAGAUAAGCAAGGUUUUCCAACCUUCACUUGAAAAAAUUGAUACCUCACUAAAGCUACAGUUCCCGAAGCCAGCAGCAGUAACUCCACCAUCCAGGACCCCAUUCUAGACACUUCUUUUGGUUGGCU